AACAUCAAAACAUUACUUUAAGCCUCGAAUCUGAUAAAUACAUGUUCUCUUCCCAAUAUAGCCAACUGUGACAAGAAAAGGUAUACUAUAAGGCUUUCGGUAACAAGGUUGAAAUAUAAGUUGUCCUUAAUUUGAAGGUAUUGAUUGACAACGUUACAAAUGAUAAAGUGAUCACAUGAAUAAGGUACUAUGGAUGGAACAAUGCCUUCAGUCCUGCACCAGUGUGGAAAUUAAGUAAUGCUUGAAGAUAAAGGAUAAGAGGUUACCAACUCCUGUGUAAUAAAUACAAACGGUACAAAAGAAAUUUCAAAUAUCUGAACUUAAUCUUAAACCUCCUAAAUUUUUUAAUCAUUUGGGUCAAAUUCUCCUGUACCUUCCUGUAAUACCCUGUUCUGUUCACCUAGUAUCAAUUCUGAAAAGUUUUUUUUAAAAAAUUAAAUAACUCUAAAUAAAUAAAGCAUAAUUUUCUUUUAAAUAACUUUAGUUACAUUUUAUUCAAGAAGAGAAUAGUUUUAUCACUUAAUCAUUUGAAUAUACAUAAGAAUAGUUUUAUCACUUAAUCAUUUGAAUAUACUUAAUCAUUUGAAUAUAUGUGGGAAGAUUGACGAAAAGAUUUGUUAUAUUUGAUAUUUUCUAAAGAUAAUUAUUUUUUACUUUUACAAUUCAGUUUUGCACUUCAGUUCCAUACCUACUUUACAAUUUUAUUAUUCUUUAUUCACAAUGUUUAAGAGAGUAGUUUCGUCAUUUAUCAUUUGAGCAUGUGAGAAGAAUGUUGCCCAACGUUUAGUUCAAUAAAAGAUUUAUUGCAUUUGACGUUUACUUAAGAUAAAAAAAAUUAGCUUUGUAAUCCAAUUUUUCACUUUGUUGAUUUUGUAGCUUCCAAAAAAUAAAAUAAAAAACUAACCGAAACACAAUCCCUACAAAACUUAUCUCAAUCAUCAACAUUUACCACCAACCACCACAAACAAUCAGCAUCACUUGAAAAUGAAAAAAAAAUAUACAUACUCUCCACCAUACUCAAAAGUUUAUUAUUGAAAUUGAGAAAAAAAAAAUGAAGGUGUGAAAGAAGGUAGAGUUGUAGGGAGAAUUUAGCUCAUUUGGUAUGACUAUUUCUUUCCUUUCUUAUGUUAUAAGGUUUUAAUACCUUAAUAGGAGUGUUAAUUUGAAUCAUGUGCUAAUAAUCGGUUACGCAACUCAGCUCCCUUCUUUUGUGAAGUACAUAAUAGACUUAGUAACAAAGUUGAGGAUACACCUUGAUCCAACCCAACCAACCUUUUGAAUUGAGCGAGUGAGUUUAAAAUUUAUGUUGAGAAGUCCAACGAAUAACGUUAAUUGCAACAAAAAAGCCGUAGAAUAGAUUGCGUGUACACUACAGCUCCGGUUACCUCGGAAGUGUUGUAUGAUUUGUGGAACACUCCCUUUCGCUUCUCCACACAUCUUUUUCAUCAGAGCCACGCCAAACUUCAAAAUUUUCACCUCCCCCAUGAACAAAAGGCCAAUCGAAACCAAAGUGUCUCCUAAUAACUGCAAGUAACAAAGUUGCAUAGCUAUUUAAGUGGAAUUAGCUGAUAUUAAAAAGUGAUAAUGAAAUUAAAAUAAGUAGAAAGUUGAAGAUAAUGCAGUAGAAUGAAAGAGACAUGGUUGAGAGAGAUAAAAGCAGGAGAGUGUGGUGUUUGUGGUGAAUCCAGCGAAGGAAUUAAAUGGGGUGUGGAAGUAGAGUGGCUCCUGAAAGCAUAAUAGAGGGUAUUAAAUGCAGCAGCUAAUACCCCCACCCACCUCCUUUGGCCCUCACAACAAACACAUAACACACUUACACUAUUCCCUCCCCUCUCCUUUCACAAAUGGAGAAUUUCCCAACUCAUCCUUCUUCUUCUUCUUCUUCUUUUUCUUUUUCUUCUUCUUUUUCACCUUCUUCUCUUCAAUG
RNAcentral lists this long non-coding RNA (1924 nucleotides) under Phaseolus vulgaris (common bean). RNAcentral's name for it is "long non-coding RNA (PVUL_LNC000850)". The record is from RNAcentral. Lineage: Eukaryota; Viridiplantae; Streptophyta; Magnoliopsida; Fabales; Fabaceae.